Molecule: long non-coding RNA, 2452 nt
Organism: Toxorhynchites rutilus septentrionalis
Lineage: Eukaryota; Metazoa; Arthropoda; Insecta; Diptera; Culicidae
Exons: 4
Source: RefSeq, a predicted model, not a curated record
UGUGUAGUGGUGGAAGUGUGUAAACUUGUGCUGUCUAUUUUGAGUACUAUUUUUAACAUUUGUUGCUGCAUUUGAAGUAUCUGUGUAUUGAAUAGUUGUUAUUGCUGAAUUAAUUGCUGGAUAGAGCGAGACGUAUCGAUACUAUUUUGUAACGUCUGCUCUAGUAAACAGAGUUCGCGGUUUGACGUGUCGAGAAUUUCGCGCUUCUUUUCGUGUUGUUUGUCGCAAGCCCCGGGCAAGGGGAUAUGAUCCGCGAGUCAAGAUGUGCUACAAAUUUAGCUGUCAUUGCCAAACCUAUCAAAUUACUCGGCGAACUCAAGGCAAAUCUAUGGAACAAGAAAACCACUUCACGUUUUGACCCACCUGGUAGUAUGUUAAGUGCCUUGUUUUACACCAGCUUGAGAGUUUGGCAGUUCUCGCGAGUGACAGUGGUCGCAAAUUGCAUUUGCGACCCGGACAUGUUUGACGCUGUCAAAUCCUAUGUGCUAGUAUACGGAUGCCCUCAGGCUGGUUUGUCGGUUUUGAUAAAGCUUGCAGCACCAGAUUCAUGGCUAUCGGCAGCAUCGUCAUGUCUAGCAUUGUGUGACGAUACAAGAUCAGCGAAAUCCUCACACUGCUGAAUCAAGAUUUUGGUACACAACGGAACAAUGCAACACGUAUUGUAUGGAACUGAUUGAAAUGAACUUGAAAGAAUUGCUAUUCAAAGUAAUUGUUAAGGUUCUAUAAUAUAGACACUCCUGAAUCACCGAAUUCUACACUACAUCGACGGACGUUACCUGAUUAGGGCUCUGUAGCCACCCAAUCUUCCCCCUCCGGCUUUCAAGCACGAACCCGCUCCACACUCACAGGUCUAUGGACGCGACGAGCUGCUGACAACACGCGACUGAGGUUAUCCCGAUAACGCGCCGUAAAUCACACACGUUGGGCGCCACUGUAACUGGAUUUAUUCGGCAGAUGUAAAUCGUGUUUGAAUUCAGUGUAUUUUCAAUUGAUAUAAUGAUAUUUAAUUCAAUAAACUAAUUGUUCGCGUGUAUACACGCGGAUUUCUUUUGUUCGUUCUAUCUCUCUUUUAGUUGCAGACCCGCCCUGCCCCCAUAGUUCUACCGACAACGCGAGCUGCUUUCGAAUAAGAGAGAUAGAACGAACAAAAGAAAUCCGCGUGUAUACACGCGAACAAUUAGUUUAUUGAAUUAAAUAUCAUUAUAUCAAUUGAAAAUACACUGAAUUCAAACACAAUUUACAUCUGCCGAAUAAAUCCAGUUACAAAGUAUUGUAUUUAUACCCACAUACUGGUACAAAUAGACGUCAAAACCGAAGGAAAUACAAUUGAAAAGUUAUUUGAUGUAAGGUUUAGUAUUAAAAACAACUUGAAAAUAGUAAUCACGGGACACUGAUGUUGUGUGCUAUGAAAUAAGUCAACUGUGAACAUCCUUCUGUCACAGCAUAGUUAGAGUCAAGGCGCGUAGAAGUAUAUUCUAAGGUGGGCCAACUUGCUAAAACCACUCUUCAGCCAUCUUGGAAAUCUACUGUGUUUUGUUUGUAAACAAAACACAAUACGCUUGUGCCGGAGCUCGCUCGUGAUCAGUCUGUCUCUUUCACGCUUCAAGGAAAUAAUUCCCCUUCUGCUUUCUUCCGUACUGUUUUCAUAUACCGCUCCCCUAACCAACUUAGUGACGAAACGGCCUCACCUAGUACCAUAGACCCGUCUUGGUUAGAGUGAGGCAGAAACGAGGAUGCUGUCAGUUUCCCCUCUUUCUGCUCACAUGCUCACAUAAAAUAUAGGCAAAUAGAAUACACACACACACACAUAGUUAAGCUUUAUAACACAGCUAGGGAAAAAGCUGAUAAAAGGAAUGAAAGUUUAUUGAAAUAUUGCAGAAUAGUUUUGGUAGUUGGUGAAUCCCGACCAAUAGAAUAAAUUGAAUUGAGAAUUGUUCGCGCAAUUGUAUUCCUGAAUAAAGGGCCUGAUUCUCGAAUACACUACGAAUACACUUCACGGCGGAAACGGAAUGAAACGUAUUCGCGAUGACAACGGUAUGGUGUCGACAUCUGGAUACGAGAUUAGUUUCCCACUAAACUUAUCAUUAUAAUAUCAAAUUAUCUUUAGAUGAAAUUUUUGUAUGAGAUUAUUAUACCACAUGAAGAAAACAAAGUUUUCCACUCACAUUAAACACCAGUUUGAUACGAAGAAGUUAAUUUUCAUUAAUGAUUUUUUAUUUGAAAAGUGCUCAUUCUGCCUGAAAAUUCAUCAUUAUCUUCGACACUUCACUAACUCGUAAAACGUAGUUCAAUGGCGUGCCGUUUAUUUCGUUUCCACCGUGAAGUGUAUUCGAGAAUCAGGCCCAAAGAUUUUGAAUUUGAAACCAAAGUGAAGUUGAAGUGAUAUCCGACCACUUCCGAGCCAUUCCCAACAGUUGCAAUGGCAACAAAUUGCAGCUCUUCUACCCCUUCC